This is a long non-coding RNA of Pieris brassicae (large cabbage white), 1008 nucleotides long. RefSeq lists it as uncharacterized. The record is from RefSeq and is a predicted model, not a curated record. Lineage: Eukaryota; Metazoa; Arthropoda; Insecta; Lepidoptera; Pieridae. The transcript has 2 exons.
AAAUUAAUUACUUUUUAAUUAAUAUACCACAAUAAUGUACAACAUGGAUUUCAUACACGUCAUUAUAGUAUUAUUCGCGUCACCGACUUACACCAUACAUAUAUUCGACGAAAAGGCAGACGAUUUAAUGGACAAGUACCUAGUGGAUGUCUACACAAUCAGAUCCAGAUUUAACUCUCCGUUACAAAAUCCAGCUCCAAAUUUUAUAUCUGAAACCACAUUAUCGCCGCGCAAGCGCCCAUACCACGCAACCAAACAUCCCGUGAAAGAUGUUCACUUCAAUUUAACUAAAUCGCAGUUCUUAGAAAACCGGCAGAACGAAAAAGUAGCAGCCAUACUAAAAGCAGGAAAUAAUCCGCCACCAAACUUUGAAAUUGACGAAUUAAAUGUGCUAUCGAGAAGAUUUGAUAGCAUUCGUAAAGAUAGCCUCAAGCGGAAUGAUGAAUACUUAAGAGAAUUAUAUUUCUCAAAAGAAGAUUAUGGCGUAAAAGCUAAAUCACGUAAAAACAGAACUAUUCGGUUGAUGGAACAGUUCAUAUAUGAGACUCAGUAUAAGUUGACUUAUGUACAAGUUCUGAGGAAGAAGUAUAUUUUGCAGCCGAGGUACAGAAUCGGUUACUGUUUUUCGUUAUUGGCCAAUUUGCGAAAUCAGCAGUUCGUUCUGUUCGAUGCGUUACGGCGUAAUAAGGACUUUUGGACGACGUUGUACAUUCAUCUUAAGUUGUAUGAGAAGAUAGUGAGGCUGGACGUGGAUAUACGAGACUUGAUAGCAUAUAUAAAGAAAUUAAAUUGGGACAGAAUGCCGAAAGAGGAACCAAUCUACUUCGAUAGCGUUAAGCAUAUGCAACAAUGAUGACAAUUCCUAAUAUAAUGGAAUCAUGAGAAUUUAUCAAAAACACAUUUUUUUAAAUUUUAACACGUUUCUAGAAAUUAAUUAACAGGAUUCGUUUGUAAAGGAACUUUUGGGAAGAUGAAUAUUAAUUAAUUAUACGGUAAUUUUCUUGAUGC